This 758-nucleotide ribosomal RNA is filed under the name uncultured prokaryote. Its description in RNAcentral is "bacterial SSU rRNA". It matches the Rfam family "Bacterial small subunit ribosomal RNA", at positions 28 to 804 of the family's 1533-position model. The record is from RNAcentral.
GAUGAACGCUGACAGAAUGCUUAACACAUGCAAGUCGAUUCGAUUUACCUUCGGGUAUUGAGGAUGGCGGACGGGUGAGUAACGCGUAAGGAACUUGCCUCUUGGUCUGGGACAACUGUUGGAAACGACAGCUAAUACCGGAUAUUAUGAGAUUCUCGCAUGGGAAACUUAUGAAAGCUAUAUGCGCCAAGAGAGAGCCUUGCGUUCCAUUAGCUAGUUGGUGGGGUAACGGCCCACCAAGGCGACGAUGGAUAGCCGGCCUGAGAGGGUGAACGGCCACAAGGGGACUGAGACACGGCCCUUACUCCUACGGGAGGCAGCAGUGGGGAAUAUUGGACAAUGGGCCACAAGCCUGAUCCAGCAAUUCUGUGUGCACGAUGAAGGUCUUCGGAUUGUAAAGUGCUUUCAGUUGGGAAGAAGAAAGUGACGGUACCAACAGAAGAAGCGACGGCUAAAUACGUGCCAGCAGCCGCGGUAAUACGUAUGUCGCAAGCGUUAUCCGGAUUUAUUGGGCGUAAAGCGCGUCUAGGCGGAAAAAUAAGUCUGAUGUUAAAAUGCGGGGCUCAACUCCGUAUUGCGUUGGAAACUGUUUUUCUAGAGUACUGGAGAGGUGGGCGGAACUACAAGUGUAGAGGUGAAAUUCGUAGAUAUUUGUAGGAAUGCCGAUGGAGAAGUCAGCUCACUGGACAGAUACUGACGCUAAAGCGCGAAAGCGUGGGGAGCAAACAGGAUUAGAUACCCUGGUAGUCCACGCCGUA